Molecule: small nucleolar RNA, 136 nt
Organism: Cercocebus atys (sooty mangabey)
Lineage: Eukaryota; Metazoa; Chordata; Mammalia; Primates; Cercopithecidae
Gene: U8
Rfam family: U8 small nucleolar RNA
About the family: U8 is a member of the C/D class of snoRNA which contain the C (UGAUGA) and D (CUGA) box motifs. U8 is the RNA component of a small complex (the U8 snoRNP) which is required for accumulation of mature large subunit ribosomal RNAs, 5.8S and 28S rRNAs.
Source: Ensembl
UCAUCAGGUGGGAGAAUCCUUACAUGUUCCUCCUUUUACAAGGCAGAUUAGAACAUGAUGAUGGGGGUUCAAAUAAUAAGUGAUUAAAGUUUCUGUGUAAUCAGGACUUGCAAUAUUCCGAAUGCUCUUACCUGAC